Molecule: RNA transcript, 3042 nt
Organism: Rhinolophus ferrumequinum (greater horseshoe bat)
Lineage: Eukaryota; Metazoa; Chordata; Mammalia; Chiroptera; Rhinolophidae
Gene: PIP4K2C
Gene name: phosphatidylinositol-5-phosphate 4-kinase type 2 gamma
Exons: 11
Source: RefSeq, a predicted model, not a curated record
GCGCCUGCGGGCCAGCCUCCGGUCACGUGACGGCGGCGCAGGUGAGCACCGCUUCCGGGGUCGGGAGCCGGGAUAGCUGCCGGCUCCGGCUUUCACUCAGCAGGGUACGCGAGAGGCCAUGGCGUCCUCCUCUGCCCCGCCGGCCACCGUACCAGCGACGGCAGCGGCCCCCGGUCCGGGUUUCGGCUUCGCCUCCAAAACCAAGAAAAAGCAUUUCGUGCAGCAGAAGGUGAAGGUGUUCCGGGCGGCUGACCCGCUGGUGGGCGUGUUCCUGUGGGGCGUAGCCCACUCGAUCAAUGAGCUCAGCCAGGUGCCUCCCCCGGUGAUGCUGCUGCCAGAUGACUUUAAGGCCAGCUCCAAGAUCAAGGUCAACAAUCACCUUUUCCACAGGGAAAAUCUGCCCAGUCAUUUCAAGUUCAAGGAGUAUUGUCCCCAGGUCUUCAGGAACCUCCGUGAUCGAUUUGGCAUUGAUGACCAGGAUUACUUGGUGUCCCUUACCCGAAGUCCCCCAAGUGAAAGUGAAGGCAGUGAUGGUCGCUUCCUUAUCUCCUAUGAUCGGACUCUGGUCAUCAAAGAAGUAUCCAGUGAGGACAUCGCUGACAUGCAUAGCAACCUCUCCAACUACCACCAGUACAUUGUGAAGUGCCAUGGCAACACACUGCUGCCCCAGUUCCUGGGGAUGUACCGCGUCAGCGUGGACAGUGAGGACAGCUACAUGCUUGUGAUGCGCAACAUGUUCAGCCACCGUCUUCCUGUGCACAGGAAGUAUGACCUCAAGGGUUCCCUUGUGUCCCGGGAAGCCACUGAUAAGGAAAAGGUUAAAGAAUUGCCCACUCUUAAGGAUAUGGACUUUCUUAACAAGAACCAGAAAGUUUAUAUUGGUGAAGAAGAGAAGAAAGUAUUUCUAGAGAAGCUGAAGCGAGAUGUGGAGUUCCUCGUGCAGCUGAAGAUCAUGGACUACAGCCUUCUGCUGGGCAUCCAUGACAUCAUUCGGGGCUCUGAAACCGAGGAGGAAGGGCCAGUGCGGGAAGAGGAGUCAGAGGGGGAUGGGGACUGUGGCCUGACCGGACCUCCAGCUCUGGUGGGCUCCUAUGGCACCUCCCCCGAGGGUAUCGGUGGCUACAUCCAUUCCCAUCGGCCCCUGGGACCUGGAGAGUUUGAAUCCUUCAUUGAUGUCUACGCUAUCCGGAGUGCUGAGGGGGCCCCUCAGAAGGAGGUGUAUUUCAUGGGCCUCAUUGACAUCCUGACACAGUAUGAUGCCAAGAAGAAAGCAGCUCAUGCAGCCAAAACUGUCAAGCAUGGGGCUGGGGCAGAGAUAUCUACUGUCCAUCCUGAGCAGUAUGCUAAGCGGUUCCUGGAUUUUAUUACCAACAUCUUUGCCUAAGAGACUCCAUGGUGACUGCUGCUUUAUGUUCAAGGUGGUGGGGUUCUUCAGAGAGGCUUGGGGGAAUUGUGGAUAUUCUGGCCACUACUUCUCUUCCUCUUUGCUAAAUUCAGGCUACAGGCUCUGUUGAGUAGGUUCUUCGUGGCCCUCAGAAAUACAUCCUUUCUACCCUUUGUCCAGUUUUCCUCCCUCUCUCCCUCUCCUCCAAGAAGUCUGCUUGAUUUGUUAGAGUGUAAUUGUUGACUCUCAAGUGCCUUGAUCUUUGUAAAAUGUCCCGUUGUUUCUGUAACAUAGGAGGAGCUGGGGGAAGGGGGUUGUUUGCUGUCUUCAGGACCUGAUUGGACAGAUGGACCUGGCUCAAGCAACUACUCUGGAUGCACUUUGCUGUGUGGGAUGAACUAAGUGUCUGAAUUUUGCUGAUAACUUUAUAGAACUUAUUAUGGAAUGCUUCCUUCUGGUAGGCCCUGGGAUGGAAGACUUUCAUGAUACUACAGAUGUGGGUGCAGGAAUGCACGCAUAUGAUGGGAUAUGGCCAGUUUCACACACACAAGUGGGGUGGAGAGUGGUCAGCAGGCUGGCACCUCAUGCAGGUGGGACCUAAGAGGACUCUUGUGAUUAUGCAGGGAACUGGAGAAGGUCUCUGUCAAGGAUUAACUAUUCUCCAAUCUCUUCCCUUACCCCACUUCCACUACCACCCCUGUACUUGUGGGUGCAGGAGCCCAGAGAUGGAUGGCCACAGUGUUCAAGCCUAGGUGAAAGUGUUUGACUUCUGCUGCUCUUCCCCAGGAUCACACACCCCCCCUGGCCCUGGAACCCUUUGGUGAGGCCAUCCCUGAAGUUUUAUUCCCAGGAGAAGGGAAUAUCGCUACCUGGGUCAACCCCGGCCAUUUUAAGAGGAUGGAGGUCUCAAUUAUGGGAACCUUUUCUGGAGGUGUGUGCCUAGCAUACUUCCUUCCCCCACCCACUCUCAAACCCUUUCCCCAGUUGGAUUUGUUAUUCUGUUCUCUUCUGUCCCGUCUUAUACUGCUACUGUGUUUCCCAGGGGACAGAUGGCCGCCUUUGUCAUCUUCAUUCUCCACCCCCAGAGAGGAAUCAGAGCCAUAACUCAAUCACCCUGCCCCCUCCAAAGAUAGUUGAGUUGAUGCAUGAUAUUCUCAGAAUGUAGAGGACCAUCAUGAGCCCAGAUAGCGUCCUCCCCUCCCGCCAAUGCCUUUCGGGCUAAGGCAGCCAUUCUUGCUAUCCUCCAUACCCCUUGAGGCUCCUACAUUUUUUUCUUAAACACAAAGAUGGGCACCAGCAACUGGCCUGUGGGGAUGCAAAGAUUCUUUUCUCUGUAUCUGGCUGGACUGAUCUGUCUCACAAGAAGUCAUGAGGUCGUAAAGAAUUCUUUCUCCCCUCCAUCUUCUCCAAAGAAAGAAGAGUCCCCAGUUAAGGAUUGGAGCCCCUGUGAUAUCAUCCUGUCUGGAGCCUGAUGGAUCUUUUUCAUUCCAACCAUCUACCUUUCCCCUGUUGAAUGCAAUAAAACUCCAUGACACCAGCAACUGUUCUUUAGAAAUGUGUUUUCUGACCAUGUGGCUAAUGUAUCAUGAGCAGUAUGGUCUUCAUUUGUUGCUUCUGAUUUUCAUCUUUUUUUAUUAAUACAAAAGAUCUUGUGUAUU